GCCAUCUUAACAGCAUUAUGGGCCCCGGGCAAAGCAGUGUACUGGGGCCCCUACGACAACUACAACUACGGUUAAUUUUGGAAGUUUUCCAAUUUUCCAAGGGUUAACAUACACAGAUUAGUAUGGGGGCCACGGGCAAGUGCCCUGAGGACCAUGUAUUAAGAUAACUCU
This is a long non-coding RNA of Varanus komodoensis (Komodo dragon), 171 nucleotides long. RefSeq lists it as uncharacterized. The transcript has 4 exons. Lineage: Eukaryota; Metazoa; Chordata; Lepidosauria; Squamata; Varanidae. The record is from RefSeq and is a predicted model, not a curated record.